RNAcentral lists this unclassified non-coding RNA (1212 nucleotides) under Hevea brasiliensis (rubber tree). Lineage: Eukaryota; Viridiplantae; Streptophyta; Magnoliopsida; Malpighiales; Euphorbiaceae. The record is from RNAcentral.
AGAACCGACUCGAGUUGGGGCAAAGGACGAAAAUCAGAGGCAAAAUGGCCGAAGCAAAGCAAGAAACCAAAUGGCGAAGUCGGUGAUAGGUGUAGUAUCUCAGUCUUCGCUUCUUCUUAUAGAGCCUUCAAAGUUUGGAUUUCGAACUUACGCUACUCCAUCGACGUCCCUGCGGCUUCAGCAAUCUUCGAGCGAGAAGGGAAACUACCGAUUCGUUGUUUUCUCUGAUAAGCAUUUGAAGCCUGUUGUUGCUGCUAGUGUCGUCUAUUCGGGUCUCGAAUCGUCUACGCUUGUUACUGAUGACGUUGACUUGUCGACAGAAGGCAUCGAGAUUGAACCGGAUUCUGGAGGCGGCGGUGACGGUUACCGGGAUAUAAGAGGUAGCAGUGGAGGGGGUGGUCGAGGCGGCGGUGGUAAUAACGGAGGACAAGGUGGUGGUGGUGGUGGUGAUUCAAAGAACGAAGGAGAGGGAGGAUCGUUGGAGGUAGUGGCGGUGAGAAGAAGAAGAUGGCGUUGUCGAUGUCUCAGAAGCUGAGUCUUGGUUACGCUGCCCUUGUUGGAAUGGGUGGUCUUAUGGGCUAUUUGAAGAGUGGUAGCCAGAAAUCACUUUUGGCUGGAGGACUGUCUGCUUCAAUACUGUUUUAUGUUCACACACAGCUUCCUACAAAUCCUGUUUAUGCCUCGUCUGUAGGGCUUGGUAAGAGACACUAUGUUCAUAAAAUUUUUCUUAUUACUACUGCAAGUUCCUAUAUUUUGUUUGCUAGAAAUGUUGCCUAUGAAUGUGCAUUGACUGGCUGCAGAAUUUUGUUUAUUCUCCAUGAUUUUCUCUUUUUUAAACUUUGUGCUUUUCUUUUCAUUAAGAUUUUCCCUGUUGUACUUUCUAUUUUGUCAUCUGGACUUUUCUAGAGGUUUGGUCUUUGAAAAUUGUUCACCUAUAAUCUCUCGGUAAUGAGAUGAAUGUAUUCUUACACAUUUAAUUAUGAUUGAUGAAAGCCCUCAUGAUGGAUUUCUUUAUUGAAAAUUUUUUUAUUAGGUUUUCAUUUUAACUUGUGAUGUUUUGGUUGUUGAAUACUAAUUCGUAGAGAGUUAAAUGUGAUUACACUUAGCGCCACAAAUCUUGGUGUAAGCGCACGAACAUGGCUGCUUUCUCACCUCACCCUCAACACAUUAACUGCUUUAAUAUCUUCGAAUUUCCAGGUGUGUCUUCUAUAC